Molecule: non-coding RNA, 117 nt
Filed under: Nomascus leucogenys (northern white-cheeked gibbon)
Lineage: Eukaryota; Metazoa; Chordata; Mammalia; Primates; Hylobatidae
Source: Rfam by way of RNAcentral
GCCGGGCGUGGUGGCUCACGCCUGUAAUCCCAGCACUUUGGGAGGCUGAGGUGGGUGGAUCACCUGAGGUCAGGAGUUCGAGACCAGCCUGACCAACAUCGUGAAACCCCAUCUCUA